Acipenser ruthenus (sterlet) is the source of this 449-nucleotide long non-coding RNA. RefSeq lists it as uncharacterized. The transcript is spliced from 4 exons. Lineage: Eukaryota; Metazoa; Chordata; Actinopteri; Acipenseriformes; Acipenseridae. The record is from RefSeq and is a predicted model, not a curated record.
AGGAAAGAGAGGGAGACAAGGGGGAGAGAGUGAGACUGAAACCGAGACAAAGCUGAACAACAUCACUGAGCGGAGCAUCUCCACUGCAGGUCAGACAAGGAGAGAGAGGGAGACAGAGGAAUGCCAGGCUCAACAGCAGUUUAAAGCUGGGCAGCGGGACUGAGAUUGCCAUCCAGCCCCUGGUGAAGGAGGAGAACUUGGGAGAUGUAUUGCCCUGCGCCAGGCCGUCACCAGCCACUACUCCCUGCCCCCUGACAAGACUCUCAUCGCCAUGUACUGCCCAGACAAGAGCCAUUGGAUGCCCAUCUCCAGCUGGAAUAUUUUGUUUAGAGCCAGCAAGUGUCGAGGAAAAAGAAGCAGCAGCCUGAGAGCCUGCAAGGGGUGCCCUUUCACCUGAGGGACAGAGACCUGAUCGGAGCUGCUUGCUCAGUGCUUAUCCAACAGGCUUA